Molecule: ribosomal RNA, 374 nt
Filed under: uncultured organism
Description: partial 16S ribosomal RNA
Rfam family: Bacterial small subunit ribosomal RNA
Source: RNAcentral
AUAGGUGGCAAGCGUUGUCCGGAAUUAUUGGGCGUAAAGCGCGCGCAGGCGGUCCUUUAAGUCUGAUGUGAAAGCCCACGGCUCAACCGUGGAGGGUCAUUGGAAACUGGGGGACUUGAGUACAGAAGAGGAAAGCGGAAUUCCAAGUGUAGCGGUGAAAUGCGUAGAGAUUUGGAGGAACACCAGUGGCGAAGGCGGCUUUUCUGGUCUGUAACUGACGCUGAGGCGCGAAAGCGUGGGGAGCAAACAGGGAUUAGAUACCCUGGUAGUCCACGCCGUAAACGAUGAGUGCUAAGUGUUAGGGGGUUUCCGCCCCCUUAGUGCUGCAGCUAACGCAUUAAGCACUCCGCCUGGGGAGUACGGCCGCAAGGCUG